AUUUCAUUUUCUGCUCUGUGAAUCAAACAGCUUCUGUGAGUACUUCAUGAACUUAUCGUGCAAUGGCAAGAUGCCUUGAAGAAGCUGUUAUUGGUCUACCUGAAUUUUCAUUCUUCUUUGAAACCUGGGUAACCAUCCAUGAGUCACAGGAAAUCCACAAUGAGUUGUGGGAAACACAUUUCUUAGGUAGCAGGAGAGAAGGGGACCUAGACUACAC
RNAcentral lists this long non-coding RNA (217 nucleotides) under Gallus gallus (chicken). Lineage: Eukaryota; Metazoa; Chordata; Aves; Galliformes; Phasianidae. The record is from RNAcentral.